AUGGAAGCCAUCAAGAGAGUUUUUCCUGUCCAGCACAUAGAUGAUUCCUUUGUUCACUUGAGGCACCCUCUUAUUCUCCCGGCGAAAAACAGAACCUCGGCUUAUAACUUUGUUCUAGAUAAAUUUAAGUCCAAGCUUAGCACUUAUAAAGCUGAUAAACUUUCACAUGUAGCUUGGCUUCAGCUCAUUCAAUCUGUUUUCUCUUCAAUCCCUGUCUAUUACAUGUCUAACAUUUUGUUCUCUAAGAAGUUUAUUGCAAAAUUGACAACCAUCAUCAGGAACUUUUGGUGGACCGGAAUCAGGGAGGAAUCCACUCGUAGCCUCUGCCUCAAAGCUUGGAAAGACAUAUGUGCUCCAAAAAAAGAAGGCGGUUUGGGUAUUAGGAAUUUGCAAGCGGUCAAUCAGAGCUUAAUCCUCAUGUCAGCCUGGCGCAUUGCUCAAAACCCUGAUGAUCAAUUCCACAAAAUCUUGCGAGCCAAGUAUUUUCCAGAUUCAUCUAUCUGGCGCCCAAAGCCAAAUAUCCCCAAAUCAGCUUUCUGGGCCUCUAUCCUUAAAAUCAUUCACAUUCUUAAGGACCAUUCUUUCUAUCGGUUAACUGUAGGCAAUGUUUCUAUUUGGAGUUCACCCUGGUGCUCCUCCUGGACUUCUAUCUACGAAAAUUUAAUCAUUCAACCAUCAAACAUCACUUAUCCUGCUCUUGUCAAGGACUUGUGGCUCCCUAACCAAAACAAAUGGAAUCAUGAGCUUAUUGACACUAUUUUUAGACCUCCAACUGCUCAGGCCAUCAAGUGCACUCCUAUUUUAAAUGCAAAUGAAGAUGAUUUACUUUGCUGGAAGCUAAAAAACAAUGGCAGAUGCCAUGCCAAGAGUGCAUAUUAUGCUUGUGUGCAGGACUUGUAUAUCUCAGGCGAGGAUAAACCGAGACAGCCAUCUCCAACAACAUGCCAAAUCCUUAAUUAG
Molecule: ribosomal RNA, 960 nt
Filed under: Triticum aestivum (bread wheat)
Lineage: Eukaryota; Viridiplantae; Streptophyta; Magnoliopsida; Poales; Poaceae
Description: partial small subunit ribosomal RNA
Source: RNAcentral